This 4284-nucleotide unclassified non-coding RNA is filed under the name Exaiptasia diaphana. RNAcentral's name for it is "uncharacterized LOC110246294, transcript variant X2". Lineage: Eukaryota; Metazoa; Cnidaria; Anthozoa; Actiniaria; Aiptasiidae. The record is from RNAcentral.
GAAUCGCGAGCAACAAAGAAUCAUGUAGUAAAAUUGAUUGUUUUGUGAGGNAAUUGUNUACAGACAAAGCAUUUUGCAUCGUUUGUCUAGGAAUUAGACAAAAUGGCAGGUCGCGGCCGCGGAAGAGGGAGUUUAAACCGAUGGGAUCCUGGAUUUGAUGGUCGCGCGAUAGCUUCUGUGACUCCACUCAAAAAACACGCACAGACAACAUCAAGCAAAAUGGACGAGUUAAAGUUGUCUUCUGUUCGAGUUACAUGUAUUAUUGAUGUUAAUCANUUUUGGGCUCAAUUAGGUUCAAACUCUGACCUUGAGCAUUUUGAUAACUACAUGUUUGCUUUGAACCACUGGUGUGACAAUCAAAUACCUUCAACCAUUAGUGACAUGCCUAAUGUCGGUCAAGUUGUCUGUGUGCAACAUGCUGCUAGUAGGAUGUGGAGAAGGGCCGAGGUCACAAGACUUAGUCAAAGGAUGGUAGAUGUAUUCUUUCUGGACUACGGAGAAGCUGAAUGUGUUUCUCUUGAUAUGUUAUGUAGUAAUGUUCCUACUGAUAUAACAUCCUGGCCUCCACAGGCCUUGUACUGUACUCUUGAUGGGGUACAACCACCUAAGGGNNAAGAUCAGUGGAGUGAAAAAGCUGUGAAGAGAUUUAGAGAACUUGUGUCCUUUGGACAACAAAACUUGGCUGCUAGUCAUGGAAAUGGGAGCUUACAGUUAACACUUUAUCUUGUUGAUGAAAAUGGUCACAUGAAGUCAGUGGGAUCAAUUCUUGUAGAAGAAAAUCUUGCACAGGAGACAGGUUAUGAAUCAAGUGGAGAGAGCGCUUGGCCUGAAGUACCACAAAGAAGCCAACAACACAAAAAGGAGAGUGAAGCUCUCAAAAAUCUAGACCAACUUGAGCAGCAGCUAGUGAUGAGUGGNUUNUCAUAUCUANUGAACCCUUGUAAUGAGCAAAAACCAGAAUUCACUUAUGAAACAACAACAAUAUCAAGCUCUUACUGCACUUACAAGGGAAAUAAAGAACCACCCAUAGUGUCCUCAUCUAGCAGUAUUCCAAAUUUUGCCNCAAACAAAGAUAGAAGUCCACAGAGUCAAUUGUCUACAAGACCACAUCUUGCCAGUCCAGGUGAAUUCAUGACUUCAUCCAAGUCUCCUUUUGGUAAGGAAGCAGUCAGUGGUUUUCUACAGGANGAAAGUCAUUCCAGACAAGAUGCUUCUAAAAGUUUACCAGGAAAUACAGACAGCAGUCAACACAAUCCGUGGUUCAAUACUUGGUCCCAACAUGACUGGAAACUACCUCAAGACAAAAAUAAAUCUCUCUUUGGAUCCAGUGAUGUGUAUUCCAGUGAGGGACGAACUUUGGCUGACCUGUCAUUCAAAGAUCCAAAGUCAGCUGGUACAACAUUGCAGUACCAUUUAGAUGGACCCAGUGCAUUCCAUGAUCCUAAAUAUAAACAGCAGNAGCCAGUUAUGGGACCUUUUACCGUCACAAGUCAGCCAGGAGAUGUUUUUAGAACCCAGUCAAAUCCCCAACAACAAGNGACNGAUUCAUUCACAAAACCUCAACUACCAACAAAUAACAGCAAAGACAAGACUACGAAGACAGAGCUAAGCUGGCAAAAGUGGAAAUUCCAACGCAAUAUAAAAAAGCUUUUUGAAAAAACCCAGUCAGAGGAUGUUGAUGUUAAUGNUGUUGGUCUUGAAAUAGGGACAUUGAUUAACAAUAGCAAAUUGUCACAGAAUUUUGAGGGCAUNUCUGAAGUCAUGGUUGUCCUAGAGAUGAUAACGGAACGAGUGUUGGAGAAGACNGGGUUCAGCAGCCUCGCAGCAAAGAUUUGUAGUUUGUUGUCAGGAUUAGGGAUACCUCAGUUUACAAGAUAUAUGUGUGAAGUCAUAACUGCCAUUAAAGAUGAUCUUGGCGAGCACCAAACGAUCAGUGAUUGGGAGGAGAGAUGUGAGCGUUUUUGUUCGUUUAUGGGUGAGAUGGUUGUGAUUGCCGCUGGCCAAGAAUGUACUGAUGCAAACUUCAAGUCUGUGAUUGACAUACUCAUCAGCCAAAGCUUAGAGAAAUGGAUCACACUUGACAAGGUGGCUGAUGAGAAGCUUGAUGAGUAUUUGAUAUGUUUUAUUGCNCUUCUUGAAGUUAUUGGUCCUGUUAUGGAAGAACACAACUUACGAUUUGGAAACUUUGAUUUGGAAACCAUUUUCAAUUCAGUUCGAGAUCAUGUAUUGUCAGAUGAUAUUCCAAGGUCAGCAAAAAGUGCUCUUCUCGAUCUCAUGCUUCAGAGGGCAGCAGGAUGGCCAGAGAAACCACUGGACAAGGACACUGUUGAUNAUGAUGAUGACAUUGACAAUGUGUCUGUAGAAAACGAAGAAUAUGAGCAAGACUGGGAUCCUUAUAGCAAAGUAUCUGCAAUGCUGGAGAAAUUGAAGCUUGAGGACCUUUUUAAGAAGUUUAAAGAUAACCGCAUCAGAGAUACCUUACUUGUUGCAAAUAAAGAUGAAUUCAAGAAAACAUUGCAAGAAGCAGGUUUCCCUCCUGGAGUUAUUUUAGAAAUACAGAUGUUUCUNGAAAAAGGAGAAGAAGUUCCUGAAAGAAAAAGGAGUACCAGCAGCAAUAAAGGAUUCCCUCUUCCGGCCAGGAAUACAACAAGCCGCAAACACAACCANAGCGAACACCACAAUCAAAACACAGAGAAACUAGAAAAGCCAAUCUACCAUGAACAGACUUGUGUACCACCUCGCAAAUCUCCUGAAUGUCAGCCUAGUAAACAUGUAAGCAAUGACAACGAUCAUAGGUUAAAACAAGAACUUACAAAGGCACAUUAUCAAGUACAUGAUCAACCACGCAAGUUGUCACAUGACCAUGAAGAGGCACAUAAUCACNUACAUGAACAGGCACNUUAUCAGGUGCCUCAGCAGUCGCAGAAACAGGGACAUGAUCAAGUGCAUGAAAAGGUACACUAUCAGGCACGUAAAAUUCAUGAACANGAAGGCGAUCNCNCANAUGAAAAAGCACAUUAUGAGACAUCUCCCAAACAGGGACGUUAUCAGGCAAAUGAACANACACACUAUCAGGCACCUUUGCAACCACACAGACAAGGACUUGAUCAGGGACGUUAUCAGGGACAUAAUCAAGGACAUGAUCAGACACAUGAGCAGGCACAUUAUCAGGGACUUGAUCAAGGACGUGAUCAAACACAUCAUCAGGCACGUGAUCAAGACAUUGGCAAAAGAAAGCAAACAGCUGUCACAGAACAAAGACAUUUUGGUCAAGAAAAUGAAGAGAACAAAGGAACCAUUAGAGAGGCACAUAACUUAUUUGAACCUUCGUAUCUCAGUAGACCGCCUCCUUUGAGAGUAGACCCUGCCUCAUUUGAAUANGAACCUGAACAGGAAUCNCCUGGCCANGAAGGCCCUAUGUCAUAUAGUGCAGUUUUGAAGGCAAAAAAUGAAGAUUCCUUCCCUGAACCGCCAAACAGAUCAAUGGCUGUAAAACUGACAGCUUUGACAAAGNCNAACACUGCUGAAAAUAUACCUNCACAAAGCAAACAGCAGUUUUCUAAGACAGCAUCCAAAGAAACAAAUAAAGACUCUGGUGCAAGUAGAAGAGAACCAGGACCUCGGCCACCGCCUGGAUUGCCACCUCUUCCCCCACAAAACUGGGGCCAGUCGCCUGAGAUUAGGCUUACUGUUUUACCAAAUGCAAGACGAGGAAAACCAGACGAUGCCGCAAUAAGCUCUGAGACUGAAGCAUGGCGUGGGAGGCAGGGCUUUGGGUCACCACCUCGUGCAUCUGGGGGGAGGGGUGGAGCAUCACCAAGAGGUAGACAGGAAGGUAGCAGGGGACUAACUAGAGCUAGUAAUGAAUGGCAGCAGGGCAGAUCAGAGCCUUUGAGUUGGCGUCGACUAGAUAACGAAAAAGCAACAAGGGAGGAACAAUUAGUCAGACCUUUUGGACCUGGAGGACAGAAAGCAUGUUUUACUUGCGGCAGCAAGGAGCAUAUGUCAUGCAAUGACAAUUCAAAAUUGUUCUUUGACUAAGGAUGAAAUGGUGGGCACCCACUGGGAUUGCCACUCUACCCCCUCAAUACAUGUACUACCCCCUCAAUACAUGUACUUAAGUCAGUUGCCUGAGCUUAGACUUUUGUCCUAAAUUAAAACCAGGCAAUGCUGUAAUUAAAGUCUAGAGACUUAGCAUGGUAUGGUAGACAUUGCUUUAGGUCUUUUGAUUGAUAUGUUGCAUCUCUGUUUGUUUUGGUUGUAAUAAAAGAAUUGUAACUCUGA